Dipodomys spectabilis (banner-tailed kangaroo rat) is the source of this 104-nucleotide small nuclear RNA. Lineage: Eukaryota; Metazoa; Chordata; Mammalia; Rodentia; Heteromyidae. The record is from RefSeq and is a predicted model, not a curated record.
GUGCUCACUUUGGCAGCACAUAUACUAAAAUUGAAAUGCUACAGAGAUUAGCAUGGCCCCUGCGCAAGGCUGACACACAAAUUCGUGACGUGUUCCUUAUUAAA